RNAcentral lists this ribosomal RNA (350 nucleotides) under uncultured haloarchaeon. RNAcentral's name for it is "bacterial SSU rRNA". The stretch from base 1 to 308 matches the Rfam family "Archaeal small subunit ribosomal RNA", at positions 1107 to 1478 of the family's 1478-position model. Lineage: Archaea; Methanobacteriati; Methanobacteriota; Halobacteria; Halobacteriales; Halobacteriaceae. The record is from RNAcentral.
GCCGCUGCUAAAGCGGAGGAAGGAACGGGCAACGGUAGGUCAGUAUGCCCCGAAUGUGCUGGGCUACACGCGGGCUACAAUGGGCGAGACAAUGGGUUCCUACCUCGAAAGAGGACGGUAAUCUCCCAAACCCGGUCGUAGUUCGGAUUGAGGGCUGAAACUCCCCCUCAUGAAGCUGGAUUCCGUAGUAAUCGCGUUUCAGAAGAGUGCGGUGAAUACCUCCCUGCUCCUUGCACAAACUCCUAACCCACGCCCUUAUAGGCACCAGUGCGGAAGGGGACGGGCCCUUCCCUCCUCAAUAACCCACACAACAAAAAACCCACCACCACUGUUUUUUUUUUUUUUUUGUG